Molecule: long non-coding RNA, 1302 nt
Organism: Drosophila pseudoobscura
Lineage: Eukaryota; Metazoa; Arthropoda; Insecta; Diptera; Drosophilidae
Exons: 2
Source: RefSeq, a predicted model, not a curated record
CAGUAUGGCUCUCAUCCGGCAGACGCUGCUAAUAUUAAACGACACGACAAAGAUUGCGUGCGAGAGAGAUUUGGCCAUCGUAGAGGUAUCUCUCCUGACUCUCCCGCUCUAUAAAAUUAACCGCCUUAAGUACCUGUUGCUCAGAUAAAGUACGCACAAAAGGUAACACAAUUUGAUGCAUCAUAUCAUGAUCAAAUCAAAUCAAACUUUUCAGUCUCACGCUUCAGCGUGACACUGCAGAAAUCUGUUUUUUCGCUUCCCUUUUGCGCGCACUUUGAAGAUUUUUUAUAUUUUUGGGUAUUUUACUAUUUUUUAUAAUAUAUUACUAUUUAUUACUAUACAAUAUUUGCAUAUACAAUACAUAAUUCAAUAUAAUAUUGAAUUAAGAAAAUAUAUUCAAAGUAUCAGGCUGUUCUGUUUCUUCUGUUUUCUGUUGUUUUCCCUUUUUUCGUAAUCGCCGCCUCAGUUUUUUAAGGCGAACACAUACAACUAAAAAGCAUCACGUAUCCCUCUAGUACUGGCGGUGGCGAUUGACCAUGCCCGAACUACUGAUUUGGCUGGUUCCUACAUGGGUACUUUCCGGACUAACCCUAUGGUAAACGAACGCCGAACCACUCAAAGAAGAGACAAAAAAUGUUGCUCUGUAUACUCUACAACCCACCGCGCACCAGCCACCGAACUAGUUCGGUUGGGAUGCAACGUCUCACCAGUAGACGAAAAAACGAAAAAGCAUGAGAGGAAAAUGAAGAGAGCAGGUAGCUAAAAAUGAUGCUGAUCUGCUCUUCUCCUUUCCCUUUUCUGUUUUCGGUAAUUUCAUUGCUAGAAUGUUCUUUGCGUUUGGCGUUUGUGCAAAUCAGUGCGGCUGUCCAAGUGAUUAUAAUUAUUCAAUUUUAAACAGUUAUUCAAAGCAAAUGUAUAGCAAACGGCAGUUGCGUAGGCUCAAAAAAGAAAUAUAAGACAAAUAUGCAGCCAAACAUAAUCGUGCUAGCGGAGAAACAGUGUCGUGCAGUGAAAUAGAAAAAGUUGAACGCCGCGAAAUAGGAGAGACAAUCGACGAAAAUGAAACAAAUGGAAAGUGACACUGAAAAAUUUAAAGAACUUCUUUAGAGUUUUGAUUGAUGCCAUAACUGUAGGUACGGGGACUGGAUCAGCUGAAGUCCAGAUUAGGAAAGCCCUACAGCUGCAAAAAAAAACGUUUUUUCAAAAACAGUACCACCGCGAACAGCAGACCUUAAUUAGUAAAUUUAAAAACUUAAAUGAAAUAUGUAUAUAAUAAAAUAAAAAUUUAAAUAUGAAAUUAAA